UCGGGAAUCUUAGACAAUGGGGGAAACCCUGAUCUAGCCAUGCCGCGUGAGUGACGAAGGCCUUAGGGUCGUAAAGCUCUUUCGCUGGGGAAGAUAAUGACGGUACCCAGUAAAGAAACCCCGGCUAACUCCGUGCCAGCAGCCGCGGUAAUACGGAGGGGGUUAGCGUUGUUCGGAAUUACUGGGCGUAAAGCGCGCGUAGGCGGACUGGAAAGUUGGGGGUGAAAUCCCGGGGCUCAACCCCGGAACUGCCUUCAAAACUCCCAGUCUUGAGUUCGAGAGAGGUGAGUGGAAUUCCGAGUGUAGAGGUGAAAUUCGUAGAUAUUCGGAGGAACACCAGUGGCGAAGGCGGCUCACUGGCUCGAUACUGACGCUGAGGUGCGAAAGCGUGGGGAGCAAACAGGAUUAGAUACCCCCGUAGUCC
Molecule: ribosomal RNA, 424 nt
Filed under: uncultured prokaryote
Description: bacterial SSU rRNA
Rfam family: Bacterial small subunit ribosomal RNA
Source: RNAcentral